GACCUUAUAGGAGCUCUACUUUUUAAAGGGAGCCUACAAGGAGAGGGACUUUGUUAUGGUGCAUGUCACAAAGAACCCAUGAGAGCAACCUGCACCUUCAGGGACACCCGGAGAACACCACUAGAAGGGUGGGUCAUGGGGCAAAGGCAAAGGGACAGGUCCUCGUUUGGGUAGCUGAAGACUCUUUAUUCCAGGGGUAAGAACAGCCCCAAAUGAAUUCAGCAAUGAAAACAGAUCAGGCUGAAGGCACAGGGUUAAAUAUGGGGCAAACAGGGUGGGUCUGAGGGUCGAGGUCCAAUAGGGACAAGGGAAAGUGCUGCAGGGGAAUGGCUAAAGACCAAGAGAAUCAAUGGGAUAACAGGGGUGGAGCAAUGCUGCAAAACAGGGCCAAUGGGGGUUAAGGGAAGGAAGAACAUUCUAGGAAGGGUACAUAAAUGGCAAAUGGGGGCUGAACAAGGGUGAUGUUAUUUUUUACAAACCUUUAUAAUACCAGAACCUGAAAGGUAGUAACAAAUGACUGCAAAAGCCCUUGGGAAUAAGGUUUUCCUCACCCUAAUCUAUAGGGGUGUCUCUCCUCUCUUGUGUUAUUCCCUCCAGGGUUGAGGCAUUUUGAUAACAGGCCCCUGGGGCUCCACAGGACUUCACAUGGCAUGUAGCAAUGGGACAAUGGGGAAUGCUCUUAAGCUAAGGAAAGUAGGUUUAGAUUAGAUAUUUAGAAGAAAUUCUUUUCUCUGAGGGUGGUGAGACAAUGCAACACGCUGCUGAGAGAACCUGUGGACUCCUCAUCCCUGCAAGUGUUCAAGGCCACGUUGGAUGGGGCUCUGAGCAACCUGGCCAGUGGAAGGUGUCCCUGUCCAUGGCAUGGGGGUUGGAAUUGGAUGAUCUGUAAAGUACCUUCCAACCCAAACCAUUCUAUGAUUCUCUUCUAUUGAAGCCUCACCUUUGCUGGGCUGAGCCUUAAAGGGGAUGUGCUGUCUUUCUUGGAUCUCUCAUGGUAUUGCCUGGAGAUGAAGGAGGCACAAAACAGCAGCUGGGCUCACAUUUCCUGACUCACUGCUUCACAAUGACAUGGCUGCAAAUGACAAAUGUUGGAUGGAGAUGGCAUGCAUGAGGAAAAGGAAGAAAUCCUAAGGAGCAUCCCUGGCCAUGGAAACUGCUAGUUACGAGCCUAAGGAGAGGACCCAUGGCAACAUUCCCACCUUCUGUUGGCUGUGGGUGACAUCAGGGAAAGAAAGAGGACCUGUGGCAGCUCCAUAGCAUGUGCCAAGCCUCACAGGUCUGCCAGGGCCACCAUGCCAAACAUUAUGGACACAUCACUCUGCCUGUGGCAGUCCCUGGGCUGAAGACACAGGCAAACCAAGAGUGGAUGGGCACACAGACAGGAUAGUCUGGGUGUUAGUCCAUGCUUUUUGAUCCACAGCCAUGGCUGGCUAAGGACCUGCAAAAGGAAGUGCUGCUCUGUGAAACUGGGGCAGUGCAUGAAGUGCAGACACAAUCAAAUCUGUAGUCUUUCUUUUUUUCCUCAUUUCUCAAGAAUAAAGCACUGAUGUAGAAGGGUGA
Non-coding RNA from Cyanistes caeruleus (blue tit), 1560 nucleotides. The record is from RefSeq and is a predicted model, not a curated record. NCBI's taxonomy places the organism in Eukaryota, Metazoa, Chordata, Aves, Passeriformes, Paridae.